AUUUUGAUAAUUUUUGAAACCACUUUCAUAUAACAAAAAUACAAAGCUCACUGAGACUGCUUGGGCUAUAGAUGCAAAUGGGAUUAAAUUCCCCUGGGAAAUAUUUGUGCGCUCAUUUCAGAAAGCUAAGGACAUACAGAUUUUUAAUGUUUCCAUCUGUAAGUUUCUCAUACCCUUGUUACAGGUUAGGACCUCAUAACAAGGAAGAAUUUGUCUUAAUCACUGUUUCCCAACCAUCUAAGGCAACAGGUGGGCUCACAAGUGGUUCUCAGUAACAUGUGAGCAUAUGAACAACUGACCAGAGCACAUUCAAAAAGUUUUCAGAGACUGGAAAAAAGAUAUUUCAGCAGAAACUUGGUAGAGAAGAAGUGAUUCUGAUAAAAUACCCAUAUUCAUUUACAGGAAUCUGGGUAUCAUUUGACUGUUCGACUAAUGUAUACAGAUUAGGAGGAUGUGGAAUAUUUUUGACUUGUUCUGCACAAAGCAAAUUGAAAUCUUGCUGACAUUUCUGGUUUGUGCUGGAAAAUGAUAUUUUGCAGGUAAUAUUAUUACUGGAAUGACCAAAAUAGCUGGGAAAAGGAGUAAAUUAGCUUUACGGAUGAUGAAUACAUGUAGUUAUUCCUGCUGGUCUGACAGAGUAUUGCAUCUUUCUGCAAAGCUUCCCUGUUUUAAAAGGCCAGGAAAACUUGGUCGAGACCGGUUGACUAAAAAGUGUUCAGAAGAAGCAUCAGAAAUCCAGCAAGAGGAACUAUUUCUCCAGAAUUUGCAGUAUUUGGGGAGUGAGAAUGAAAAUCAAAGGAGUUAAAACAUAACUCCUGAAGUCCUGUGGAAAUGAGAGCAUCUCGGCUUUUAAACUUUGUCACAUCAGUCCCUGCUAAGAUCAGCCCUGGUGUGUGAGCACAAUCCGCUGGCAAGUUGUAAGAGUUCCUGCCUCAAGGAGCUGACAAAUGGUUGGAUUUUCACACUUGCAACCACUUCUGACAAUCCUCAUUUAAGACAUACCUGGGGUCAGGAACUUGGUCUGGGUCAGAGCAUGGGGCUGAACCCAGUUUCCUGGAAGCAAGCCUGCUCCUUCCGUCUGUUUUGCAUUUGGAUGUGGUUGUGAACGCCCACUGCCAAACGUAGCUGGGAUGUGUUUGGGGCAGCCCUCCAAGGGUUUUUCCAGGAGAGCAACACUGCUGAAUCCGAAGCAAAACCAGCUGAAUCCAAAGCAGGAAUAGAUUUGGCUCCUUAGUACUCCAAAUCCCAGUGUCCGAGCAAUACAUCCAUCUUGUGUAGCUUCAUGUACAGUCUCAUGCUGUGACUCAAACAGGAUAUUUCUACAGUUGGAAGAAGAAACCAUAAAGCCAUAAUGGCAAGUUUGGUGCUGGAAGAGGGAAGAUUCUGAAACCAAAAAAAAAAAAAAAAAAAUCCUCAAGAGAACAACUAUUAGAUUAGUUCAGGAAAAUCUCAAUAAUUUCAGGAAAAAAAAAAAAGCUUUUCAUCAGCUUCAUCAGAAAUCAGAUUAUGCCCAUUGACAAGAUGCAAAAGCCCUUGACAUCAUUCACAAGUGUUGCUUAUCUUUUGUUUCACCAUCUAGGUGAUUUUCAAACUAACCCUGAGUCUUUCUGAGCAUGUCCCACCCCGGUCCACUUUGAGCCAGAAAAGGGACGGGUCUUCCUCCAAAGAAUAGAAACAUCCCCAAAAUUGCAGGAAAGCCCAUGAAAUGGUAAAUUUAUCCUGCACUGCUGUCGGUAAAGAUAAGCUGUCUGGUCAUCCUGCUGCUGUCCCAUCAGGUAUGAAUUUUUCUCCCGGCUCAUGUUGGAAGAUCACAACAGACCAGACCGCUUUUGCUUGCCUAAAAGGUGCUGCCCAAGUGAAAGCAGUUUUCCAUUUGCUUUAAGCGCCACCAGCUCUGUACAUGAAAUCACGUUGGUCCCCUACCACUGUGUCAGCGUCUUGUAGCCAAAAGGACAUUUCACCCACCACCGCCCCAGCUGGUGGCAGUGACCCCCGACAGCAAGAAGCUGAUUACUCUGAGCCCGUGAAGAUGACUCUUUUGGUGAGGAGGUCCCAGCUGUCACGACUCUGCAGCAAGGGUGCUCGGCAUGGGACCAGCCUGGGGACGCGGAGGUGCCGCAGGGCCAGUCGGGGGGCGAACCCAGACCUGGGCUCCGUUACCUGCCCCGUACUCCAUUUCUGAGUUUGUCUGCACUAGAAAACUCCUCGCAGCUGCCUGGGACACAGCUCAGGAGCAACCCUGUUCUCUCUGCUUACAGUUACGUCCCUGCUGACCAGCACAAGUUGUUAUUAUGGAAGGACUUGUCAAAUAAGCUGUCCUUGCAUUUUUUUUUCUUUUUUAUUAGUGGAGUAUGAAAACAGGCAAUAAUUUUACAGAAAGCAGGACUGGCACAAUUGGUACAUAGCAUCAUGCUGCAGCUUUUCGGAAAUGAAUAUAAACUCUUUUUUUUUCCCUUCUUUUACCUACCAGAAUAAAUAAAUAUGAUACACAUUUGAGUUCAUCAAUAGUGAAUUCUAAAGCACAACUUCUUACACUACAGCUCAAUUUUACAGCAAUCUGUACAGUAUAUUACUUUGAUUUCCUUUUUUGUUUUCCUUUAAAAGCCUUUGUUCCUUUGCAAGAUAGGUUUGACACACAAACACUGUUACACUUUGGAGCUAACUGUACGCCUUGGGUCAGUAGCUGGAAAAAAAAAAUUGAUUGCCUCCUGGCACGAGAAAAUAAACCAAAAAGUUAUUUCCAGUUGCAAAGACACAUCUGAACUUCUCUCCAGCAUGAGACGGCACUGCUCAAUAGCUAGAGCAUAAAAAAAGGCUUUGGCUAUUCGUAGAAGACUAGAUGCAAUGUUUAACUUAAGAUAUGAUGAUCAUAUUCUUUAUAAACAAAUUCUGGGGCCAAAUUUUGUUCUUAGGGUAAAUCUGGCAUUGCUCCACGGGUGGAUGCACUUACUCCUCUUUGGCCCCACAGCAGUUCAGAACUGGUCUUACUUUACGAGUCCCUAUGGGUUUCUUUGCAAACAGUAAAAUUGCAUGAUCUGGGGCAUGUCCCGAACUUUGCGGCAGAUCCCGAGGCCACGCUCAGCGCUGGGAUUAGCGGGCGUGCUCUCCGGUAAGAGCCGCGCCGUUUACAGCCGUGGUGACAUUGGCUUCUCGGCUUUUACAUCUCUUCCCCAAGCAGCUGGAGAAAUCAGGGAACGAACACGGAGGGCUCUGUUUAUACAGCAGGGAACAAACCGACGAGUCUGCAAAGUCUGUGGAAAAUAUAGGAAGUCAACCGUUACCGGGCCAUUUUGUAGCACGACGGGAAAUUCACAUGUGCACUUAUCAGCGCAGGAAUUUUUUGUUUUGAUCUUUCUUUACUAGAAAUCUUUUGUUGUUGCUUAUUGUAUCAACCUUUUCCUACUCCUCUGCUAUUGAUUUGGGUUGGGAUCAGAACUCCUUAGAGAAACAGGUCUUUGCUCUGGAUAGGGAAAAUAAGAUAUAUUAUGUUGCUCUAGAACAGAUCAUAAAAAAUCAGCAAGGGGUACACGAAGGGAUAAGGAGGGAGGAAUAGAAAAAUCAACACAGCUUGUUAAAAACAGCAGGAAAGUUCUGUAAAUUACUUGUUUAAGCUUAAUUGAGUUAUGUUUCAUAGCUACUGUAAUUAAACUAACAAAAU
Long non-coding RNA from Rhea pennata, 3658 nucleotides. RefSeq lists it as uncharacterized. NCBI's taxonomy places the organism in Eukaryota, Metazoa, Chordata, Aves, Rheiformes, Rheidae. The record is from RefSeq and is a predicted model, not a curated record. The transcript has 4 exons.